This 465-nucleotide ribosomal RNA is filed under the name uncultured bacterium. Its description in RNAcentral is "partial 16S ribosomal RNA". It matches the Rfam family "Bacterial small subunit ribosomal RNA", at positions 28 to 507 of the family's 1533-position model. The record is from RNAcentral.
GACGAACGCUGGCGGCGUGCUUAACACAUGCAAGUCGAACGGAAAGGCCCUGCUUGCAGGGUACUCGAGUGGCGAACGGGUGAGUAACACGUGGGUGAUCUGCCCUGCACUUCGGGAUAAGCCUGGGAAACUGGGUCUAAUACCGGAUAGGAGCCAUUUUUAGUGUGAUGGUUGGAAAGUUUUUUCGGUGUAGGAUGAGCUCGCGGCCUAUCAGCUUGUUGGUGGGGUAAUGGCCUACCAAGGCGGCGACGGGUAGCCGGCCUGAGAGGGUGGACGGCCACAUUGGGACUGAGAGACGGCCCAGGCGCCUACGGGAGGCAGAAGUGGGGAAUAUUGCACAAUGGGCGCAAGCCUGAUGCAGCGACGCCGCGUGGGGGAUGACGGCCUUCGGGUUGUAAACUCCUUUCGCUAGGGACGAAGCUUUUUGUGACGGUACCUAGAGAAGAAGCACCGGCUAACUACGUG